CCUACGGGAGGCUGCAGUGAGGAAUAUUGGUCAAUGGGCGGAAGCCUGAACCAGCCAAGUAGCGUGCAGGAUGACGGCCCUACGGGUUGUAAACUGCUUUUAUACGGGAAUAACGCGCCUUACGUGUAGGGCUUUGCAUGUACCGUAUGAAUAAGGACCGGCUAAUUCCGUGCCAGCAGCCGCGGUAAUACGGAAGGUCCGGGCGUUAUCCGGAUUUAUUGGGUUUAAAGGGAGCGUAGGCCGCAUGUCAAGCGUGCUGUGAAAUGUCCGGGCUCAACCCGGGCCUUGCAGGUCGAACUGGCGGGCUUGAGUGCGCGGGAGGUAGGCGGAAGUCGUGGGGUAGCGGGGAAAUGCUUAGAUAUGACGAAGAACCCCGAUUGCGAAGGCAGCUUGCUGGAGCGGAACUGACGCUGAUGCUCGAAAGCGCGGGUAUCGAACAGGAUUAGAUACCCUUGUAGUC
This 460-nucleotide ribosomal RNA is filed under the name uncultured bacterium. Its description in RNAcentral is "partial 16S ribosomal RNA". It matches the Rfam family "Bacterial small subunit ribosomal RNA", at positions 338 to 795 of the family's 1533-position model. The record is from RNAcentral.